UCUGAAUGAUGAGUGCUUGGGUGAAACUGGAGAAAACUAGGGAAAUAUACACAAGGACAGCAAAAUCAAUCCUGUGGAAUCCAGCAGAGGUUUUCCACCGCUGUUGUAUUGAUGCUUUGAGUUACAUAAACUUAUUAACACGUAGUGGUAAGGGAAAUAACCAGUGAUGGAGCAUAAAAAGAAGUAAAUAUUGUAUUUUAAGACUGACUUAUGCAAUAGAAAUAGUGAAAAUUUAAGUUUGACAUCAAAGAACGCUAGUAUGUCUCAGAACAAAAUGGUUCCCUUUUUUUUUUGACUGGUAGAAUAUUAAAAGCUCUAUUUAUGGACAACUUUUUGCUUUGGUUUGAUUUUAUAUAACUGUCAACUACUUACGUAGCUAACUAUUUGAAAUGGAAAAUAUUUUAUACUGUUAUUCUCUUCCUAUUGUUUUGCAAAUAAUUUCAGCUAGGAUUUACUAAAUAUGAUGGACAGUUUAAGUACAUUAUUACUUAAAAUUUCUCUUUAGUCCUUAAUAUAAGUAUAAACUACCAGAGAAAAAAUGUUUAAAACCUAAAGUUUAUUUAGUAAAACAAAAAACAAAAAACAAAAAAACCCCAUCUAAUUAAUUGAUUAUUAAUUGGGACACAUCAAACGUGCUUUUUGCCAUACAGUGUCUUGCGGCUUGAGAUUAGGCUACACAGUAAUUUUAUUGAGUUUGCUUUGGUAUUGUAAUCACCCUGCAUUUUCCUUUCAUUUACUUUUAAUUAGGAAAAAACUAAGAAUUGUAUGUUCACAGAAAAAUCUUUGUAGAUAGAUGUCUGAUUGUGAAAUAUUACCAGGUUGGAAAUAAAGGUCAUUUUGUGGGAAACGGAUCAUGUCAACUAUUUCACUUACCUUAUGUAAUAAGUAAUUUACCUGUAAAUUCAUCCCCAUUUAAAAAAUUCCACUUCUGGAAUAUCUUACUUUAAUAGAUAAGCCUGAGCUCUUCAAAGAUGGCCCCUUCCACUGUUAGUCCAGGAUGGAGAUUCAAAGAAGUGCCUGAUGGCUCUGCCUGUGACAGAUCGGUGUUCAGGCACCAGGUCCAAGGCCAGUGAAUGUGCUCAUGGGAUUUGAUGUUUUGUGCGCUUAUGUUUCUGAGUCUUUCUUUAUAAGGCUGAUUUGGGGUUUGCGCUCCCCUCCGUACCCACUGAAAUUCCCCUGGAACCAGGCAUAACAGGGCAAAUGCUUUGCAGGUCCAUCUUUAAUGCGCUGAAACUUGAGCAGGUUAUUUUGAAACUGCGUUUGCAUAAUUUAAUCUGAGCAACCAUUCUUAUGUAGUUAUGAGGUGCUGUUUGCAUCAGCCAUCUUUGAGAAAAUGUAGCGGGGCGAGGCUGCCCUCAGCCGCAAAAUUGUCCGCCACUUGAUUUGAGUUUUGUGAGCCAGAGAUUUGGAUGAAAUUCUCCUCUAGUGGAUGGCAUGUUAAAUACAUUUUUUGGGGAGAACCUGUAUUUUUUUUUCCUAGUUGUUUGAGUAAGGCUAUUAUGUAAUUUGUAAGAGAAGUUUUGAUUGCUUUAAAAAUGAUCAGGAUAUCAAACUUCUUCAUGUUGCUUAGUGUUUAAGGAGUACAAGAAUUUUUUCACUUCUUAAUGUCUCUGUUUACUGAUUUUCCUUAAUGAUGGUUUUCCGUUUUGGAUAGAGUCGAUGACUUUGUUAAAAUAACAGUCCUGAUCCUAAUAAAAACCAAAAUCCCGCUCACCUAUGUUUUGCUUGGUCUCAAGAGAAUGAGGUAUUACGGUGAAUAAUGUGACUAAUUUUGGUCUUUAUUUUAUGGAAUCCAGUCUCGGCAUUUAUGAAGAUUAUGCCAGAAGUUAAUUACUGUGGAGUACCUUUGUCCUAUUCAGGUAUAUUUAGUUUUCUCAUUGUUGCACUGUUAGCUUCAGUCAAGAGGGAUCCGUGACCUCUUUGCUCUUGUUAACCCCUGAUUCCUGGCCAAUAUCGAAUUACCUAUAAUGGAUUAUCAGCCAUGUUUAGACACAUAUAACUAAUAUCUUGUAAGAUAUCGUUUUAAAGUACAUUCUUUAAGCUGGCCAAUGUGGAGAUAUUAUUGGGUAAAACAUAAAGCAUUAUGUAAGCCAUUUGGACAACAAGAAAUACAGAUAACACCCUAAGAGGACAUUUGGGAUGAGUUUAGGAAAUCAGAGUAAUUUGAGGGUUUAAAUACAUAUAUAUAUGUCUUCAUAUAAUCAGAAGUAAGGCAAUAGUGGUAUGUGUUGGCGAAUGUUUUACAAGGAUUUAUCUCCUCAUAUAUUCACAAUAUUUUAUUUCCAAAAAUAUUUUAUAUUGAAAUUUUGUGUUUUAUAAUCAGAUCGAACCCUUGAUUUAUACGAAGUUAUUUAUUAACCUUGAUGAACAUCAGAAAUUACAAUUUUAGGUUGUAAGUUUUAAAACUCUCCUCAGAAUGAAAACAGAGCCCUUUAGUUCUGUGGGCAAUAUUGGAGUCACUUGUCAGAGGCAGUUAGAAAGUGUGACGUUAAUCAUGGUGAAAAUUAACCAAAUAAGCGCACACAUCUUUUUUGAGGAGAGCACACAGGUGAUUUUCCUGAAUUAUUUGAUUUGCAGUGAAAUGCUCCUGGUUAAUGGAUGGUAUCAGGUGUAUUUAAUUUGUGAAUAGAUGAUUUAUUUUUUCCUUUCCAGAUUAUUUCGGUACGAGACGUAUAAAGAUCAACUGUGGAAAUAGAAAAAGUUUCAGUUUAGUAUUUGAUAGGGUCACAUGCAUGUGUUUGUGACUUACAAAGAUAUAAAUCCAGCCUUGCUCCCUAAAGUUUAUAGUCUAAUGCACAGCGUUAGGAUGCUGGCCGGCUGUUUUCAGAGCAAAGUGCUCCCCGAUUCAGUCUAGAAAAUGUUACAUGUAGUCAUUCUGAUUGCAGUUAAUUUUAUAGAUGUUUUACAUUUGGAAGGAUCUCCACAUAACUCUUAGAGAGUGCUACACAGGCAAGUUAUAUGUGAUGUCCACCCAUUUUGAUGAGUCUGCUGAUAGUUACACCCCGAAUCGGGGAGGAAAUAAGAAUUUGCCAAAACGAGACUUUACCUCAACUUAUACUUGGUGCUUUUCUAGAAAGAGGAUGGAAUUUCUCACAUCUGUGCCCGUUUCAAACGUCGGUUUGAGUCCAUUUUUAGGGGGAACAGGGAUACACUCAUAGAAGGAAUUUUGAAAAUUUUAAACACCAUCUUAAACAGCACGUAAGGCGGGCAUUCGGCAGGAGAAAACAUCUGAGAGGAUUAAGCAUUUAUCCACAACAGGGAAGGAUAGAGGGUGGGUUCGUUUCUUAGCAUUCUGAAAACUUUCUUGGCUUCACAAGAAAGCCUGUUAAGAUAAUUUUUUUAAAAAGAAAUUUUGCUUGAGAGUUUGUUGUGAUAAGUAUUUUUAGACAGUAUGGAUAGCCAUCUAGUUUUGAGUUUUUCUCAGGUUGCGAAAGAGAUCAGUAUUAUGAAAUAUAGUACAUUAUUCCCAUUAGUCACAGUAAAUGGCUAUACAUAUGGUGUACAUAGAGCUGUUCUAAUGCCCCUGCUCCAAGGACAAAAGAAGACAAGUUUUAUCACCCAUUUUAUUCUUCUGUCCUCUUACUCUUUUGCUACUGCCUUAGCAGUUUAUCAAAUUAAUAAUUUUAAAAGCCCAUAUCUGUCACUUGGAAUGUGGGUGUUGAUCUGUUGCCAUCUCUCUGUCUUUGCAUAUAGCUAUGGGGUGGGGGGAACCCACCAGGACUGACUCACAGUGAAAUGAUCCCCCAUUAUCCAGUUACUCUCUCUCUCUCUGAUUUAUUUUUCUUGCGGCUGUAGCUUCUUGACCCCAGUUAAACUAAUCUUUCUUCCCUGCCCACAACAGCUAAUCUUCAAGUAAACAAACCAAUAGAGCUCAGUUCAUAGCUUUGAUAAACAAGAAUCUACUAAAUGUAAGGAACUGAGGUCUCACCAAGGGAUAGAAUUAAAAUGGACUGGGCUAAACUUGGAAAGCAAGAAUGGAAGAAGCUUGAGAUAGUGGAGUUAAAACUCUGAAGACCAAUUCAGAGGCAGGGCUCCCCCUCCCUCAUCCUCCCUCGUCUCCUCCAUCAGGCAAAAGCUUGAAGGGGUCUCCUGUGCCACAAAAUCCCACUUAAUCUGAUUUUUAUUUCUUGCCACAGUAAUUAUCUUGUUUGGGAUGGUCUGAUACGAUUUUCUGUAUUUUAACAGGGAAAGUUGCUGUGGAUCCACAGCUGGUGUGACUGGUAGCUGUUUUUAGAAUAGUGCAUUGAAAAGUUUUGCAGAAAGUAAAUUGAUCUGUAUUCCAGAUUUAGGACAAAGAUGGUAAUUAGUGGCUUGCAGAAAGGAGCACAUGGCAAUUCCCUUUCUGGUUAUAAACCUGGCUGGGUCUUAGUGAUGUAUACGUUAUCUUCAUUUGCUUGUUCCCACCAGUGAGAAGACUGGGAAAUCCUGACUUUAAUUAAGAAGGCAUAUUUUUGAACCAGGAAUGUGAAUUUGGUUUCCAGCAACCAAGGGGGUGCUGGCGGCUGGCUGAUAUUUUGCCUGGCUCAAUGGGUGGUCACUGCUUAAUUCCACCCAACUAAGGUUUCAGUCUUUGACAUUUACAAGACAGCAAGUUUGGGGUGUCUUGGAUUUAAUGCAUAUAUCCAUCUAAUAUGAUAAAGUCUUUACAGUGGCAGAAGUUGCAGCCAAGUUAAUUGAUCCUCCCCUUUCCUGCAAUUCUUGCUAGAUUUUAUGAGAUAAAUAAGUCCCCUGAUGGUUUACAAGGGAACUUUUCCAGCUUGAUGACAGCAGCUCUGUCAGGGGGAUGGUCCAUAUUGAUGUGAAUGUACUUAAUGAGCAAAAAGGGAGCCAUUUAGUAAGUUGUAUGAGGAUGUGUUAAUAAUUUGCAGCUCAGCUCGCCAAAUAAAUCUCUCCGUGUGUUCAGAAACAAAAGGCUGGGGGUCAUGCCUGCAUUUGGGGGUGGUUGUCACCCCAUGAAGAUAGUUUUCACGCCACUUUUUCCUCCUUUAAUGUGGGUAUUUGCUUUAGGGAUGCACCAGGGCCAUUUGCUGCCGCCCUUUCCCUGCACCUGCUUUCUCUCGAUCACAGUAAUGACCCCUUCAGUUUUCAUUUGCCACUUCCACUCUGACCUGAACCUGGAAACCUCCAUUCACGACCGUCUGAACAUCUUAAAUACUUUCUGGUUUUGCAACUUGUCUGUAGACUGUCUUCCAGAUAUGGGUUUGUCUCUUAUUAGACCUGCCCUUAAACCUGACCUCCAGUAUCAGGAUGCUGGAGUAGACAAGGUAAUAUAUAAAGACAUGAAUUUCACUGUUACUUCUUUUGCUUUGUUUUGAAGACAUUAUUGAGUAGAAUCUUUCCAGUGUUGUCAAGUGUAAAAUGAGCAUCUUUGCCUCCAAUUAAUUAUUGGGUUUCUGACAAAGAGGGUCAGAGAGAAGAAGGAAACUUUGGAUUGGGAGCGGGUGACCUGGACAAGCCAAUUAACCCUCCUAAUCCAGCUUCUCCAGGGACUGGAAGUGAUCAAUGUCAGUUCCUUCCAAGAAUAAAGUUACGUGAAUCCCCAGGAAUAUUGCUGAGUGGUCAUUUUGCUGGAAGGCCUCUGCUUUCCUUUUGACAUCUGAUGGAGAAUAUAUCCCCUGUCAGUUCCGUUUUAGUCAUGGGCAUAAAUACCUGUUUGUGAGAUUCAUCACUCACACAAGCGACCAUAACCACAAGGAGAAUGAAAUGUCUUCUCCGACAUUUGCAAAGUGCAUUUGGAUCAGUGACAUAAUUUUAAGACAGACACGUACAUACUGAUAUUAGUGAAAAGGAGGGUGUUUCCUGCUGUUAUUAUUAUAAACUUAAAAAAAUAAAAACAAUUAUUUUGGAAUGUUAAUUAUUUGGAAGGUUAAAGUGAAUACUUGAGUUUGCAAAAAGAGCACUGUUCUUGUUUCAGGAGACAGAUCCAGUAAUGUGCAUGUGUUGAAAGUCAAUUGUCUUCAAUGCAAGCAGGUGGGAGCAUGUUUGAUGAUGUUACUGUUUUUAGAGGCAGAAAACUUAAGCACAUAAGCAUAGCCGUGACAGAAGUUUCUGGGAGCGGCUGGCUGCCGGGACUCCGACUCCUAAAUGGUUCCCCGCAUUCUCGUUGGCCCCAGCGUGGGCUGCAGACUUGCCCAGAGCUCGCUGCUGAAAAACGCUUUGCAGAGAAACCAUCGUUCUCCAGCCUGGGCCUCAGGUUUCCGUGUGGGCUCCUUGACUCAGAGAGACCAAAUAUUGUUUCCAGAGCCUUUCUAGGACCGGGUCUCCCCGAGCCUGGUGUCCUCCUGGACGAGCAGGAUCACUGAUAGCGGAGAGUUUUGGAGAGCCUGUAUUUGAUACUUGAAGAGAUAACUUUUUGUAUAAAGCGGGAAGUGGGUUGUGUGAUUCAAUCUUGAUUAGAGACUUUCGUUUAUUUACAUAAAGAGGAUGAACAGAAGGAUAUUUAUGGCCGCAUUGUCUAAAAGAUCAAAAAAUUAAAAACCACCUAGGUGUUUCUUGAUGAGAAAAUAAAUCAUGUGCUGUGCAUGUUAUAAUAGAAUGUACCAUUCAGCCAUUAGAAUGAUGCCAUCAUUCUGGAGUUCCUGUCGUGGCUCAGUGGAAACAAAUCCAACUAGGAACCAUGAGGUUGUGCGUUAGAUCCCUAACCUCGAUCAGUGGGUUAAAGACCCAGGGUUACUGUGAGCUGUGGUGUAGGUGGCAGACGAUGCUGGAAUCUCUAGUUGCUGUGGAUUUGGCUGUGGCCGGCAGCUAUAGCUCCAAUUGGACCUCUAGCCUGGGAAUCUCCAUAAGCCAC
This 6790-nucleotide long non-coding RNA is filed under the name Sus scrofa (pig). RNAcentral's name for it is "lncRNA (ENSSSCG00000056393.1)". The record is from RNAcentral. Lineage: Eukaryota; Metazoa; Chordata; Mammalia; Artiodactyla; Suidae.